Molecule: ribosomal RNA, 506 nt
Filed under: uncultured bacterium
Lineage: Bacteria
Description: partial 16S ribosomal RNA
Rfam family: Bacterial small subunit ribosomal RNA
Source: RNAcentral
AUUGAACGCUGGCGGCAGGCCUAACACAUACAAGUCGGACGGUAGCACAGAGGAGCUUGCUCCUCGGGUGACGAGUGGCGGACGGGUGAGUAAUGUCUGGGGCUCUGCCCGAUAGAGGGGGAUAACCACUGGAAACGGUGGCUAAUACCGCAUAACGUCGCAAGACCAAAGAGGGGGACCUUCGGGCCUCUCACUAUCGGAUGAACCCAGAUGGGAUUAGCUAGUAGGCGGGGUAAUGGCCCACCUAGGCGACGAUCCCUAGCUGGUCUGAGAGGAUGACCAGCGACACUGGAACUGAGACACGGUCCAGACUCCUACGGGAGGCAGCAGUGGGGAAUAUUGCACAAUGGGCGCAAGCCUGAUGCAGCCAUGCCGCGUGUAUGAAGAAGGCCUUCGGGUUGUAAAGUACUCUCAGCGGGGAGGAAGGCGGUGAGGUUAAUAACCUUGCCGAUUGACGUUACCCGCAGAAGAAGCACCGGCUAACUCCGUGCCAGCCGCCGCAGUAA